AUGCCCCCCGCCGCGUGCGCCACGCCGGCGGCCGCGCGCCCGCUGCUCCCCGUCUCGCGCCGCUGCCCGCUGCAGCUGAGGGACGGCAACGCGGCGGCCUCCCUGUCCUUGGGCGGCGCCGCCCUUGCAAAAUCGAAGGCGAAGGCACCGGCGGCUGCCGCGUCGCCGCCGUCGGUGAGGUCGUAUGCUGCCAGGGUUGACGCGGAGAGCAGGGCGGCGGCGGUGGCGAGGGAGAAGGAGGUGUCGCUGGCAGAGGAGCUGGAGAAGGUGCGGGAGCGGCGGGGACGGGUCAUGGCGGAGCUGAUGCGCCUCAUCGAGAUGCAGUGGGGCCAGCGCAUAAUGCGAUGA
This 348-nucleotide ribosomal RNA is filed under the name Triticum aestivum (bread wheat). RNAcentral describes it as "partial small subunit ribosomal RNA". The record is from RNAcentral. Lineage: Eukaryota; Viridiplantae; Streptophyta; Magnoliopsida; Poales; Poaceae.